This 539-nucleotide ribosomal RNA is filed under the name uncultured eukaryote. RNAcentral's name for it is "bacterial SSU rRNA". It matches the Rfam family "Eukaryotic small subunit ribosomal RNA", at positions 81 to 599 of the family's 1831-position model. The record is from RNAcentral.
CGGAAACUGCGAACGGCUCAUUAAAUCAGUUGCGAUCUACUCGGCGUUCCGCGCCGCCGGAUAACCGUAGUAAUUCUAGGGCUAAUACGUGCGAAGCGCCCGAAGCCGCGAGGCGACGGGCGUUCUCGCCGGAUGUAGGAACCGACCCGGGGACCGCCGGGGCAACCCGGCGCCCCCGAGACGGGGCGAACCACGGUGAAAUGACGGAUCGUCGGCCCCGCGCCGGCGACUCGCCGAAUGAGUUUCUGACCUAUCAACUCGAGACGGCGGGGUAGAGGCCCCGCCGCGGUAACGACGGGUAACGGGGAAUCAGGGUUCGAUUCCGGAGAGGGAGCCCGAGAAACGGCUACCACUUCCAAGGAAGGCAGCAGGCGCGCAACUUACCCUAAUCUCGAUUCGAGGAGGUAGUGACAAGAAAUACCGAUGCGGGACCCUACGGGUGCCGCGUUCGGAAUGAGUACGAUUCGAACCACCUAACGAGGAACGAUCGGAGGGCAAGUCUGGUGCCAGCAGCCGCGGUAAUUCCAGCUCCAAUAGCG